Molecule: long non-coding RNA, 252 nt
Filed under: Manihot esculenta (cassava)
Lineage: Eukaryota; Viridiplantae; Streptophyta; Magnoliopsida; Malpighiales; Euphorbiaceae
Description: long non-coding RNA (MESC_LNC000588)
Source: RNAcentral
AAAAAAGAAAGGAGCCCAGAGCUACCAAGGCAAAAUUAGGUUCCGACCUCCUGAAGAGGUUCGGGGCACAAUAGCCAAGAAGCGCCAACCUCGAAACAGACGCUAACGCUAAAAGAUUGGCUAUCGGGCAAAAUGCCGAGCUCUCAGCUCGGAUAGACCUAUUUUAAGCUCAAGGUCGAGCUCCCAGCUCGGAUAGACUUGCAUCCUCAAAAGCCCAAGGUAUGAAGGCCAAAACAAAAGGCCGGGCUCCCU